This 27-nucleotide unclassified non-coding RNA is filed under the name Dictyostelium discoideum. Lineage: Eukaryota; Evosea; Eumycetozoa; Dictyosteliales; Dictyosteliaceae. The record is from RNAcentral.
CUGAAAUUUUGGAACCGUAAACACGUU